AGUAAGGUCAGCUAACUAAGCUUUUGGGCUCAUGCCCCAACAAUGUCGGUUCAAACCCCCCCCUUACAU
RNAcentral lists this transfer RNA (69 nucleotides) under Nanorana unculuanus. RNAcentral's name for it is "tRNA-Met". Lineage: Eukaryota; Metazoa; Chordata; Amphibia; Anura; Dicroglossidae. The record is from RNAcentral.